AUUGAACGCUGGCGGCGUGCCUAACACAUGCAAGUCGAGCGGUAACAGGUGUAGCAAUACAUGCUGACGAGCGGCGAACGGGUGAGUAAUGCUUCGGAAUCUGCCCAUGUAGUGGGGAAUAACCAGCCGAAAGGUUGGCUAAUACCGCAUACGACCCUUGCCCACAAGGCAAAGGUGAAAGCAGGGGAUCGCAAGACCUUGCGCUAUUGGAUGAGCCGAAGUCGGAUUAGCUAGUUGGUAGGGUAACGGCCUACCAAGGCGACGAUCCGUAGCUGGUCUGAGAGGACGACCAGCCACACUGGGACUGAGACACGGCCCAGACUCCUACGGGAGGCAGCAGUGGGGAAUAUUGGACAGUGGGGCAACCCUGAUCCAGCGACGCCGCGUGUGUGAAGAAGGCCUGCGGGUUGU
RNAcentral lists this ribosomal RNA (411 nucleotides) under uncultured bacterium. Its description in RNAcentral is "bacterial SSU rRNA". It matches the Rfam family "Bacterial small subunit ribosomal RNA", at positions 30 to 426 of the family's 1533-position model. The record is from RNAcentral.